Molecule: ribosomal RNA, 253 nt
Filed under: uncultured bacterium
Lineage: Bacteria
Description: partial 16S ribosomal RNA
Rfam family: Bacterial small subunit ribosomal RNA
Source: RNAcentral
UACGUAGGGGGCAAGCGUUGUCCGGAAUCAUUGGGCGUAAAGCGCGUGUAGGCGGUCCGGUAAGUCCGCUGUGAAAGUCGGGGGCUCAACCCUCGAAUGCCGGUGGAUACUGUCGGGCUAGAGUGCGGAAGAGGCGAGUGGAAUUCCUGGUGUAGCGGUGAAAUGCGCAGAUAUCAGGAGGAACACCGAUUGCGAAGGCAGCUCGCUGGGACGUAACUGACGCUGAGACGCGAAAGCGUGGGGAGCAAACAGG